RNAcentral lists this long non-coding RNA (453 nucleotides) under Salmo salar (Atlantic salmon). Its description in RNAcentral is "lncRNA (ENSSSAG00000100320.1)". Lineage: Eukaryota; Metazoa; Chordata; Actinopteri; Salmoniformes; Salmonidae. The record is from RNAcentral.
CCUGAAAUCUGCUACUACAUUCAUCCCAGUCAUCAGCAACAGAGCAUUGGGAAACUUAAGAAGUGCCAGAUGUUUCAGUGCACAGAGCAGGACUGUUACAAGACUUGGAUAACCAAAGACCCAAUGCCUUGUCCCCUCAACCAGCCCUACUGUGAGCUGAAAAAGAUAACAACUGGUUCAUCAACAACCUGGAUGGGAGGCUGCAAUGCCAACUGCACAAUAAACACCUGGUGUACGACCACAACAGAUACAUGCCACCAAGAGUGCUGCAACACCUCCAUGACCUCCUGCCUCAAGCUGGAUGGUACUCUGAACGUUCCUUCUUCUGCCACUAGGGGUCUGCACUUCCCUUUAGCAAUGUUCACUGCUGCUCUGCUGGUUUGUCUGCUCAGCAUUGGUUCUCUGGCUUAAACUGGGUCGUGUUCAGUAGGUACCAAGCGGGGGAAAAAAUUA